UCACGACCUGAGCCGAAGGCAGACGCUUAACUGACUGAGCCACCCAGGCGUCCCGAGGAGGGAUUGCUGAUUUCCACCUUGUUUUAUAUGUUGGAGCUGAAACCAGAAGUCUCAUUUGUGACCAUUUUUGAAACCCAGCACAGUCAUUAUAAACCGAUGAUUUGCAAAUAUCACGGGCCAAGGAGGAGAAAAACAUAUCAUUUGAAAUGCUGGGGAAGAAACUCAAGAAAUUCAGUCCAUCUCUGACAAACAGUCUGUGGUCCUUCUUAGUUCUUGCCUUCAGCUGAAAAAAUUGCAUUAAAACCCUUUACUACUACCCAUCCACCAUCCCUUAUCUGAAACCCUUGGGACCAGAUGUUGCAGAUUCAUAUACCAUACUUUCCAUAAGAGCCAUAAGCAGGGUCUGGAAUAGCACUGCUGAAUCUAAUAAGACAAUAUUUCCAUAGAGAAACACAAAUAUCCAUGCUGAGAAGGAUAAAUAAAGAC
Long non-coding RNA from Zalophus californianus (California sea lion), 486 nucleotides. RefSeq lists it as uncharacterized. NCBI's taxonomy places the organism in Eukaryota, Metazoa, Chordata, Mammalia, Carnivora, Otariidae. The record is from RefSeq and is a predicted model, not a curated record. The transcript is spliced from 3 exons.